Molecule: ribosomal RNA, 406 nt
Filed under: uncultured bacterium
Lineage: Bacteria
Description: partial 16S ribosomal RNA
Rfam family: Bacterial small subunit ribosomal RNA
Source: RNAcentral
AUUGAACGCUGGCGGCAGGCCUAACACAUGCAAGUCGAACGAGUGGCGGACGGGUGAGUAAUGUCUGGGAAACUGCCUGAUGGAGGGGGAUAACUACUGGAACCGGUAGCUAAUACCGCAUACCAUCGGAUGUGCCCAGGUGGGAUUAGCUAGUAGGUGGGGUAAAGGCUCACCUAGGCGACGAUCCCUAGCUGGUCUGAGAGGAUGACCAGCCACACUGGAACUGAGACACGGUCCAGACUCCUACGGGAGGCAGCAGUGGGGAAUCUUGCACAAUGGGCGAAAGCCUGAGGCAGCCAUGCCGCGUGUAUGAAGAAGGCCUUCGGGUUGUAAAGUACUUUCAGUGGGGAGGCGUUACCCGCACAGGAAGCACCGGCUAACUCCGUGCCAGCCGCCGCGGUAAUUC